Molecule: ribosomal RNA, 376 nt
Filed under: uncultured archaeon
Lineage: Archaea
Description: bacterial SSU rRNA
Rfam family: Archaeal small subunit ribosomal RNA
Source: RNAcentral
ACUUUACAAUGCGGGCAACCGUGAUAAGGGAACCUCGAGUGCCUGUAUAUGCAGGCUGUCCAGGUGUCUAAAACACACCUGAAGAAAGGGCCGGGCAAGACCGGUGCCAGCCGCCGCGGUAAUACCGGCGGCUCGAGUGGUGGCCACUUUUAUUGGGCUUAAAGCGUUCGUAGCUGGGUUGUUAAGUCUCUUGGGAAAUCCGGCAGCUUAACUGUCGGGCGUCUAAGGGAUACUGGUAAUCUUGGAACCGGGAGAGGUGAGGGGUACUUCGGGGGUAGGAGUGAAAUCCUGUAAUCCUCGAGGGACCACCUGUGGCGAAGGCGCCUCACCAGAACGGCUUCGACAGUGAGGGACGAAAGCUGGGGGAGCAAACCGG